GUCCUAGCCGUAAACGAUGGACACUAGGUGUUGGCCCCGUUCAGGGGUCAGUGCCGCAGGCAACCCGCUAAGUGUCCCACCUGAGGAGUACGGCCGCAAGGUUGAAACUCAAAGGAAUUGACGGGGCCAGCACAAGCGGUGGAACAUGUGGUUCAAUUCGAUGCUACGCGAAGAACCUUACCCAGGCUUGACAUGCUUGAAGUAGGAACCUGAAAGGGUGACGACUCGUAACCAGUCGAGAACUUGCACAGGUGCUGCAUGGCUGUCGU
RNAcentral lists this ribosomal RNA (269 nucleotides) under uncultured bacterium. Its description in RNAcentral is "partial 16S ribosomal RNA". It matches the Rfam family "Bacterial small subunit ribosomal RNA", at positions 793 to 1055 of the family's 1533-position model. The record is from RNAcentral.